GAGGCUCUCGCCGGCGCUCCCCAGCCUCGCCACCCGCCGCCGCACCUCCUACCGGCUGAUUCCCUCUCCAUCUCCUUGCGCCUCCGGUUGCAAUGUUGCUAACCCUAGCUCUUGCUCCCGGCCGAGGCUGAGCCACCGUCGCCGCCAUGGGGGAAUCUUCUACCAGAAAAUCGACCCGCACCGCGCCACGACGUCGCGGAUGGCUUGUCCGCCGGCUCGCGCGUGCAUCGCUACCACGAUGCCCGACGCCCCGUGGAGCUCGCCGCUCGCAUCUGUGUCCGUGCGUGGUGGACGAGGGAGGGCUCUGCUGCCCACCAACCGGCCCGCCUCCGCGCCAUGUACCCUGCCACUUGGCGUCGGUCGAGGCGCGCCCUUCACCAUCGCCGUGCGGUUGGAGAUCUCGGCGCCGUUGUUCCGGGAUGCCGCCCUGGAUAGGCGCUUGCCGGCGGUUCGGUCCGGCACGACCCCGCCGCUCCAGCUACGGAAGUCAUCCGGGACAAGCACGAGGAGUCGUUGCUGGUCUGGUCCUCCAGAUGCACCGCGACCAACUGUUGUUGUUGCUGACCAACCCCCGCAGUCGCAUGCCGGCUGCCCAAGGCGGCGUCUAUGGCGAGGAUGGUUCAGGAGGGUGUCCACUCCGACAGCUUCUCUAUUCGGAUGAAGACGACCUGCAGGUCAAUCCUGUUGUUGCCUUUCCUGAUAAUUUUUUGGCUGCCCGUCGUUCAACUCAGAUUGUUGCUUGGUCCAGAUAAAGCUGCAGCUAAUCUGAAAUGGUUUUUCAACAAGUGUAUAACUGAAUACCCAUCUCAGAAAAUGCACUAUCACCUAAUCUGAAGUUUAGGAGCUAAUUUGGACUUAACUGUUAUAGUUUUUUUUAGCUUGCCUGUAGCUGGGAUGAGUGUUCACUUUUUGUACCCUCAUGUUCCUCCAUCUCUUCUAGUAAAUGAAUGGGAGGACUGCUACUGCUUAGGCAUAUGCUCGACAGAAGUUUAUCUACCUAUUUAAUAAACGAGGAGUGGCAAGCAUGAAUCCAUAUUCAUUUUUUCAGGAGUGCAUUUUAUGUUCUAUAUGAUGAUAAUCUAAACUCGAUCAGGUCCCGUUUCUCAAUUGGCCGCAACUAGGUUAAUGUCCUCGCGUCGUGGAUAAAAUCUACACUACAUUUUUGUUUCUUUUUUUAUUACAUGCAAUGCAUAAACAAACAGUCCAGGAGUAACUUUUAUGUUUUUUCUUUGUCCCUAAUCGAGUUGAUUCAACUGCAUUGUCAGUACCACUAUUAUUGGACAUUUUAGCUUAAGUUGCGUUCCACUUUAUCCUAAAUUGUUUAUCCUGUUUGAUUGAUUAGUCACUAUAGCUUAAGUUGCUUCCCACUUUAUCCUAAGUUGCUUAUCAUGUUUCAUUAAGUUGAUUAUGCACUUUGUCCUAAAUUGCUUAUCCUAUUUCAUUAAUUUAAUUAAUGGCUUCAGCUUAAGUUGCUUUCUAGUUUAACUAAGGUUUACUGUCUCUUUUCAUUAAAUUGAUGAGCUACUUUAGCUUAAGUUUCUUCCCACUUUAAUUAUCCCGACACCUAGCUCGAGCACUAGCUCGAGCCAGCCAUUGCCCCCGACCAACGCAAGUUGCUUAUCCAUUUUAACUAACUUGCUGGCUGCUACGUUAUUAAGUUGCUUUCUAGUAAUGUUUAAUUUGGCAAACAUUGAUGCUAAGUUGCUUUCUAGUAAAGUUGACGUAACAUUGAUGCUAAGUUGCUUUUUUGGGUAAUGUUUAAGUAAGUGCAAACACUGAUAAUAAGUUGAUUUAUGGAUAAUGUAUAAAUUGCAUGAACGUUGAUGCUAAGUUGCUUUCUGGGUAAUGUUUAAGUUGCAUAAAUAUUGAUGCUAAGUUGCUUCCUAGGUAAUGUUUAAGUUGCGUAAACAUUUGAUGAUAAGUUGUCUAAACAUUGAUGCUAAGUUGUCGUAUGGGUAAUGUCUGAGUUGUAUCAACUGGUCAUGAAGUUGCUAAUCUGGAUAGAUGUACCACACCACAAGAUUUUUUUUUGGGCGUUUAUAUGUUGAACAAGGAACAUAAACAAUUUACUAAUGUCAAUUUUGGCAUUUUCGAUUUUGGUGGGCAGGGAUCUUAGUUGUUUUUUUGUAUACUCAUUAUGUUGCAUACGUGCUCUUGAGUGUGUACUUAUGCAACUGGGUUAGUUGCUUUUGUCCCUCAAAUCAAGUUGUUAGACACGUUAGGUUAAGUUGCAAAUACCUACCUGUUUAGUUGCAUCUGUCCAGCUUAGAUAUGUAGUUUGAUCUCUUCUUGUUUAUGUGCAAGUGUAGGGCAUGUGAGGGCGAGGGGCCACUGCAGGUGUCCCCAGUUCAAACUCAGUGGAACAGUGAAGCGCUGGGUCUCUCGCGAGACACCAGGUCGGCUUUGUCGACGACGGCCUCAAGGGCACACAGUAUACUGCUUUGUUCAGAAGUCGUCACCUAAACGGCGUCUAGUCGUCGGGUCGCGCUGGAGAGCACGACUGGACACUACAAAAUAUUCAGAAAAAUAGUGUAAGCAACUGUGUGUACAAAGUUGUUUUGCCACAACACUAGAGUUGCUUUUCAAAAAAAAAAGUUGCCAAAAUAUAUACAAAUGAGAUCUAAUUUCGAA
This is a long non-coding RNA of Lolium rigidum, 2631 nucleotides long. RefSeq lists it as uncharacterized. The transcript is spliced from 2 exons. The record is from RefSeq and is a predicted model, not a curated record. Lineage: Eukaryota; Viridiplantae; Streptophyta; Magnoliopsida; Poales; Poaceae.